This 253-nucleotide ribosomal RNA is filed under the name uncultured bacterium. RNAcentral's name for it is "partial 16S ribosomal RNA". It matches the Rfam family "Bacterial small subunit ribosomal RNA", at positions 524 to 776 of the family's 1533-position model. The record is from RNAcentral.
UACGAAGGGGGCUAGCGUUGCUCGGAAUCACUGGGCGUAAAGGGUGCGUAGGCGGUUCUUUAAGUCAGGGGUGAAAUCCUGGAGCUCAACUCCAGAACUGCCUUUGAUACUGAAGAUCUUGAGUUCGGGAGAGGUGAGUGGAACUGCGAGUGUAGAGGUGAAAUUCGUAGAUAUUCGGAGGAACACCAGUGGCGAAGGCGGCUCACUGGUCCAUUACUGACGCUGAGGUGCGAAAGCGUGGGGAGCAAACAGG